Molecule: unclassified non-coding RNA, 422 nt
Filed under: plant metagenome
Description: partial contains 5.8S ribosomal RNA, internal transcribed spacer 2, and large subunit ribosomal RNA
Rfam family: Bacterial small subunit ribosomal RNA
Source: RNAcentral
GGAAUAUUGGUCAAUGGGCGGGAGCCUGAACCAGCCAAGUAGCGUGCAGGAUGGCGGCCCUAUGGGUUGUAAACUGCUUUUGUAUGGGGAUAAAGUCAAUCACGCGUGAUUGUUUGCAGGUACCAUACGAAUAAGGACCGGCUAAUUCCGUGCCAGCAGCCGCGGUAAUACGGAAGGUCCGGGCGUUAUCCGGAUUUAUUGGGUUUAAAGGGAGCGUAGGCCGGAGAUUAAGUGUGUUGUGAAAUGUAGACGCUCAACGUCUGACUUGCAGCGCAUACUGGUUUCCUGGAGUACGCACAACGUUGGCGGAAUUCGUCGUGUAGCGGUGAAAUGCUUAGAUAUGACGAAGAACUCCGAUUGCGAAGGCAGCUGACGGGAGCGCAACUGACGCUUAAGCUCGAAGGUGCGGGUAUCGAACAGGA